Molecule: ribosomal RNA, 199 nt
Filed under: uncultured bacterium
Lineage: Bacteria
Description: partial 16S ribosomal RNA
Rfam family: Bacterial small subunit ribosomal RNA
Source: RNAcentral
AGGCUGCAACUCGCCUGCAUGAAGCUGGAAUUGCUAGUAAUCGCGGAUCAGCAUGCCGCGGUGAAUACGUUCCCGGGCCUUGUACACACCGCCCGUCACACCAUGAGAGUCGGGAACACCCGAAGUCCGUAGUCUAACCGCAAGGAGGGCGCGGCCGAAGGUGGGUCCGGUAAUUGGGGUGAAGUCGUAACAAGGUAUC